CCAACACGCCUCCCUUCCUUCCCCAUUUCCUCGCCCGCCGACCCGCUAUAAAAAUCCAAGCCCAUCCAUCCCUUCCCCCAUCCAUCGGCGGUCUCCCUCCCUCUUCCACCCCUCUCUCUCCUGCCAUAAUAUCAUCGUGGCCUCUCCCUCCCUCCAUCCUCUCUGAUUGCCCCCGCGCUCGCCAUGGAGGCCGCCGCGUCCACGCUGCUCCUCUCCGCCGACGCGCCCCUCGCCGCCGGCCGCCGCCUCCUUCUCGUCCCUUCUCGGCCCGCGCGGGCACGGCGGGGCGCCGCGCCCAGCAGGUGCCCGCGGGCGUCCGUCCGCGCGUACGCCGCGGCGGCCGCGCCAGCACCGGCCUCUGGAAACGGCCUCGCCGGGAAUAACAACGGCGGGUACACUGUUGGUGACUUCAUGACGAAAAGGGAGGAUCUCCAUGUCGUCAAAACGUCAACUCCGGUUGAUGAAGCGCUCGAGAUGCUGGUGCAGAACAGGAUCUCUGGUUUUCCUGUUAUCGAUGACGACUGGGAGUUGGUUGGCGUUGUCUCAGAUUACGAUCUAUUAGCUUUGGACUCAAUGGCAGGGUGUGGACUGGCUGAUACGAAUUCAAAUAUGUUCCCUGAAGUAGAUAGCACUUGGAAGACAUUUCGCGAGAUCCAGAGACUCUUGAGCAAAACCAGUGGCAAAGUUAUCGGUGAUGUUAUGACUCCCUCACCUCUUGUGGUGCGUGAAACUACUAACCUCGACGCUGCUGCAAGGUUGCUACUUGAAACUAAAUACCACAGAUUGCCUGUUGUUGAUAGCGCGGGAAAAUUGGUUGGGAUGAUCACAAGGGGGAAUGUCGUCAGAGCUGCUCUCGAAAUAAAGAAGAAAGCUGAAGGUGCUUAAAUUAGAUGGUUCUUUAUAAGGACACCCCUGGGGUUGAACCUGCGGCAAUUCAUCAAUUCAGCUGAAUUGAAAUAUUGACUGGUAGCGCAGAAGCAGAUUUUCCCUGGAGCAUAGAUGGAUAUAAUGUUGUUUACAAUGUAAUAUAAGUAGUGUAAUGUUGCAGUGAAAUUUCAUAUAGGUAUUGCAUGAGGACAAUUGCGAUUCAUUUGAGGUGAGCAUACUCAGCUGUCUCUCCAUAUUAGGUAGUAGUAGCAUGGUAUAUGAAGGUUAAUGUUCUUUUCUCGAUGGCUUGUACGAGCCUCGAGCAUGUUAAAGUGAUUCAUAUAGUGCAUUCAACCCUUUGAGAUAUGAUGAUGACCUUUCUAAUUGUCCAGAAAAUGAUUUCAUCCUACAACCAAUGAGGUUGUAGCAAAUAAUAUUAAAUCAGAUGCAAGGUUUUGUUGCAACCGUCCCAACGCUCUUAUAUUAUGGGAUGGAGGGUGUAGUUUCCAACAUAUAAUUCAUGCAAUCAUACUGUGGUGUACAAGUUCCAAACAAUCUAUUAGGAGGUGAAAGUGGACGAGGUUAUCUACUAGUUGGGAAAUGAAGCAUGAACAACCUUUUACGAGUUAUUGCUGUUUCAAUUUUAUGCUAACCUUUUGUGAGAUUUAGAUCUUAUUUGUGGUACAGAUAUUCAUAAGUUCUGGUUACCUGCCUUGAGUGAACUGCACUGGUUUUUCCUUGUUCCCUUUUCAAGAAAGAUGGCUUGGUGGCAUACUCGUAGAGAAUGCGAGUUUAUAAUACAAAAUCAGGUCUUGUUUGGAAGGGAAAAAAGAUCCCAAAUCCCCAGAGCCAAAUCUACUUAUUUGAUUGCGCCAUUGGCGCUACUUUGUGGCUGUGUCAAAGCCAUCCACCGCGUCAAAAUAUAUUUUUUGAGCCAUGAAAGACACAAAAUGUUUAUUCGAGUAGCCUGCCCUUGAAAACUCUUUUGUUUAUUUCUUUCCAGACAUGCCACCAAACAUUGAUCAGGACCCGUUGUGGCCGCACUUUUGUUCUUUUGCUGCUGCUGCCACGGUUCUGUUCCCUGGUGGUGAGAAGUUCUAUACAUGUUCCCC
This 1979-nucleotide ribosomal RNA is filed under the name Triticum aestivum (bread wheat). RNAcentral describes it as "partial small subunit ribosomal RNA". Lineage: Eukaryota; Viridiplantae; Streptophyta; Magnoliopsida; Poales; Poaceae. The record is from RNAcentral.